This 397-nucleotide ribosomal RNA is filed under the name uncultured bacterium. RNAcentral's name for it is "partial 16S ribosomal RNA". It matches the Rfam family "Bacterial small subunit ribosomal RNA", at positions 523 to 918 of the family's 1533-position model. The record is from RNAcentral.
AUACGUAGGGGGCGAGCGUUGUCCGGAAUGAUUGGGCGUAAAGGGCGCGUAGGCGGCCCGGUAAGUCUGGAGUGAAAGUCCUGUUUUUAAGAUGGGAAUUGCUUUGGAUACUGUCGGGCUUGAGUGCAGGAGAGGUAAGUGGAAUUCCCAGUGUAGCGGUGAAAUGCGUAGAGAUUGGGAGGAACACCAGUGGCGAAGGCGACUUACUGGACUGUAACUGACGCUGAGGAGCGAAAGUGUGGGGAGCAAACAGGAUUAGAUACCCUGGUAGUCCACACUGUAAACGAUGAAUGCUAGGUGUAGGGGGUAUCGACCCCUUCUGUGCCGCAGUCAACACAAUAAGCAUUCCGCCUGGGGAGUACGGCCGCAAGGUUGAAACUCAAAGGAAUUGACGGGG